RNAcentral lists this ribosomal RNA (492 nucleotides) under uncultured bacterium. RNAcentral's name for it is "partial 16S ribosomal RNA". It matches the Rfam family "Bacterial small subunit ribosomal RNA", at positions 29 to 507 of the family's 1533-position model. The record is from RNAcentral.
AAUGAACGCUGGCGGUAGGCCUAACACAUGCAAGUCGAACGGCAGCACAGUAAGAGCUUGCUCUUACGGGUGGCGAGUGGCGGACGGGUGAGGAAUACAUCGGAAUCUACUUUUUCGUGGGGGAUAACGUAGGGAAACUUACGCUAAUACCGCAUACGACCUACGGGUGAAAGCAGGGGAUCUUCGGACCUUGCGCGAUUGAAUUAGCCGAUGUCGGAUUAGCUAGUUGGCGGGGUAAAGGCCCACCAAGGCGACGAUCCGUAGCUGGUCUGAGAGGAUGAUCAGCCACACUGGAACUGAGACACGGUCCAGACUCCUACGGGAGGCAGCAGUGGGGAAUAUUGGACAAUGGGCGCAAGCCUGAUCCAGCCAUACCGCGUGGGUGAAGAAGGCCUUCGGGUUGUAAAGCCCUUUUGUUGGGAAAGAAAAGCAGCAGGUUAAUACCCCGCUGUUCUGACGGUACCAAAAGAAUAAGCACCGGCUAACUUCGUG